GGCGAGCGAACGCGGAGGAGGCCAAACCGAGGGACGCAAGUUCUUCGGGGUUGCGGACAGACAUCAAGACCAGAGGAAAUUAAGAGAACGGCGUGGGAAAGCCGGCCACAGAAGGUGAGAGCCCUGUAUCUGAAAAUGAAGACUGGCAGUCUGGAUCCAGAGUACCGCGGGACACGUGAAACCCCGUGGGAAACCGGGUGGACCACCAUCCAAGCCUAAAUACUACCUGAUGACCGAUAGAGGAGCAGUACCGUGAGGGAAAGGUGAAAAGGACCCCGGGAGGGGAGUGAAAGAGAACCUGAAACCUUGUGCUUACAAGCACUCAAAGCACGUUAAAGUGUGAUGAGGUACUUUUUGUAGAACGGUCCGGCGAGUUAUAGUAACGAGCAAGCUUAAGGUAUUCAGUACCGGAGGCGAAGCGAAAGCGAGUCUGAAUAGGGCGCAUGAAGUUCGUUGCCAUAGACCCGAAACCGGGUGACCUAACCAUGAGCAGGCUGAAGUGAGAGUAAAAUCUCAUGGAGGGCCGAACGCACGUUCGUUGCAAUGACCGGCGAUGACUUGUGGUUAGCGGAGAAAUUCCAAUCGAACUCGGAGAUAGCUGGUUCUCCCCGAAAUAGCUUUAGGGCUAGCGUUAGUUUAGAUUACCGGAGGUAAAGCACUGAAUGGUUUAGGGGCUGAUAAAGUUACCGACGCCUAUCAAACUCUGAAUGCCGGAUAAUUGAUGACUAGCAGUCAGACAGUGUGAGAUAAGUUUCAUUGUCAAAAGGGAAACAGCCCAGACCUACAGCUAAGGUCCCAAAGUAUAGUUAAGUGGAAAAGGAUGUGGAAUUGCAUAGACAACCAGGAUGUUGGCUUAGAAGCAGCCACUCAUUAAAAGAGUGCGUAAUAGCUCACUGGUCGAGUGACUCUGCGCGGAAAAUAUAACGGGGCUAAGCAUGAAACCGAAGCUUGGGCUUGUACUUAGGUACAGGGGUAGGGGAGCGUCGAGUAUGGGGUGAAGUCAGAGCGGAAGCACUGGUGGACUGUACUCGAGUGAGAAUGCCGGAAUGAGUAGCGAGAAUUAUGUGGGAAUCAUAAUGGCCGAAAAUCUAAGGUUUCUUGGGGAAGGUUCGUCCGCCCAAGGUAAGUCGGGAGCUAAGCUCAGGCCGAGAGGCGUAGGCGAUGCACAUACGGUAGAAAUUCCGUAACCACCGAAACUUAAACAGAGGGACACUUCGAAAUAGCGGAACCCGGGCGUUGGUUGACCCGGGCGAAAGGGACCGAAAUAUAGUAGGGAAGUCCGCGAUGCUCGGAGGCGAGAAAAGCUCAUGUGUAUACUAAGGUGCCCGUACCGCAAACCGACACAGGUAGAUGAGGAGAGAAUCCUAAGGCCAACGGGAGAAGGGUUGUUAAGGAACUCGGCAAAUUGACCCCGUAACUUCGGGAGAAGGGGUGCUCCAGAGAUGGAGCCGCAGAGAAUCGGCCCAAGCAACUGUUUACCAAAAACACAGGUUUGUGCUAAAUCGAAAGAUGACGUAUACGAGCUGACGCCUGCCCGGUGCUGGAAGGUUAAGAGGAGAUGUGCAAGCAUUGAAUCGAAGCCCCAGUGAACGGCGGCCGUAACUAUAACGGUCCUAAGGUAGCGAAAUUCCUUGUCAGGUAAGUUCUGACCCGCACGAAAGGCGUAACGAUUUGGGCGCUGUCUCAGCUGUAGACUCGGUGAAGUCUUAGUACCUGUGAAGAUGCAGGUUACCCGCGACUAGACGGAAAGACCCCAUGGAGCUUCACUGCAGGUUGAUAUUGGGAUUUGAUGCAGCAUGUACAGGAUAGGUAGGAGGCAAAGAGAUGGAUACGCCAGUAUUCAAGGAGCCGCUGUUGGGAUACUACCCCUGUUGUAUUGGAUUUCUAACCGGACGACGUAGAGCCGUUGACGGGACAGUGUCAGUCGGGCAGUUUGACUGGGGCGGUCGCCUCCCAAAGAGUAACGGAGGCGCCCAAAGAUACCCUCAGCUUGGAUGGAAACCAAGCGCAGAGUGCAAAGGCAAAAGGGUGUUUGACUGCGAGACCAACAAGUCGAGCAGGGACGAAAGUCGGGCUUAGUGAUCCGGCGGUGCUGAAUGGAAAGGCCGUCGCUCAACGGAUAAAAGCUACCCUGGGGAUAACAGGCUGAUCUCCCCCAAGAGUCCACAUCGACGGGGAGGUUUGGCACCUCGAUGUCGGCUCAUCGCAUCCUGGGGCUGUAUUCGGUCCCAAGGGUUUGGCUGUUCGCCAAUUAAAGCGGUACGCGAGCUGGGUUCAGAACGUCGUGAGACAGUUCGGUCCCUAUCUGUCGUGGGCGCAGGAAAUUUGAGAAGAGCUGUCCUCAGUACGAGAGGACCGGGAUGGACGCAUCAAUGGUGGACCAGUUGUCACGCCAGUGGCAUAGCUGGGUAGCUAAAUGCGGAAGGGAUAAACGCUGAAGGCAUCUAAGUGUGAAACCCACUUCAAGAUGAGAUUUCCCAUUGCGCAAGCAAGUAAGACCCCUUAAAGACGAUAAGGUAGAUAGGUCAGGAGUGUAAGCAUGGUGACAUGUUAAGCGGACUGAUACUAAUAGGUCGAGGGCUUGACCGA
This 2589-nucleotide ribosomal RNA is filed under the name human gut metagenome. RNAcentral describes it as "bacterial LSU rRNA". It matches the Rfam family "Bacterial large subunit ribosomal RNA". The record is from RNAcentral.